RNAcentral lists this ribosomal RNA (497 nucleotides) under uncultured bacterium. RNAcentral's name for it is "partial 16S ribosomal RNA". It matches the Rfam family "Bacterial small subunit ribosomal RNA", at positions 28 to 507 of the family's 1533-position model. The record is from RNAcentral.
GAUGAACGCUGGCGGCGUGCCUAAUACAUGCAAGUCGAGCGAACGGACGAGAAGCUUGCUUCUCUGAUGUUAGCGGCGGACGGGUGAGUAACACGUGGAUAACCUACCUAUAAGACUGGGAUAACUUCGGGAAACCGGAGCUAAUACCGGAUAAUAUUUUGAACCGCAUGGUUCAAAAGUGAAAGACGGUCUUGCUGUCACUUAUAGAUGGAUCCGCGCUGCAUUAGCUAGUUGGUAAGGUAACGGCUUACCAAGGCAACGAUGCAUAGCCGACCUGAGAGGGUGGGCGCCCACAGUAGAGCUGCACCCGGCCCCGUCCCCCUAGGGGGGGCGGCAGGGGGAACUCUUGCGCAAUGGGGAAAGCCGGGAGGAGGACGCCCGGGGGGAGUGAUGGGUGUGUCGGGAUCAAAAAACUCUUUUAUUGGGGAAAAACAUUUGUGUAAGUAUGUGUGCACCUCUGCGGGUUCCCUAAUAAAAAGGCCGGGACUACCUCCGCC